CAUAAGGAAGUUGUCUUGACGCGAUUGGGUAGGAAAGUGGGACUGUGAAGAGUGGAUGAGCGGUAUCGAAGCUGUGGGAUCUGAAUGUUAUACUGACUGAUGGGUAACGGUAUUUGUGCAGGUGCUCUGGGUAAACGGGCGAAUUACGUUUUGCCUCUGAAAAAAAAAAAAGUCGACUGGAGAUGCUAUUUUGCUGGGAGUUGUUGAAUUUGUCCUGUCUCAUUAGUAAUUGAACAUGUUUGCGAUGAGCUGGAAGUGAUGGUGCGUUUCCUUAUGGAGCGAAGAAGUCACCAAAACGAAAAUCAGCAAUAGACUCUGCUGCAACUAGGGUGUCUUGUCGAGGAGAUGAGGAAAGAUAAGUUGUAGUUUUCCCGAAUGAUGACUGUCCUUGAAGGGGAGGAAAUAGAUAAAUGAAACUGGAGACCAUGCUGGACUACCACUAAAUGGUGGAAGGCACAAUACAUCAUCAUCAUUAUGCAUGAAGAAGUAAGCUGGACAGCAUACAGGGAAGAGAAAGUCACAGCUCGCAGGAAAGAGUGGUGCCGAAGACAUUGCAGCAAACUGUGAGGCGCACCAAGAGAGGUUAACUCACCUUAGGGAUUCAAAUCCCUCAGUAGCAGGCUGGCCGUGUACCUCCCACGUUAAGGACAGAUCACCUUCUGGCCAUCCGGCGCAUCCUCACAGGGUUGGAGUGCAGGCACUACUGUUUUCUUUAUUGGCAAUGAUUUUUAUAGCUUUGCAGAUGAAAGAAAUACAUCUGAAACCAUUGCAGUUCAAACUAGUGUUAUUGUUUUUAACCUGAUUACUUUGAAUAAUAUUAAAGGGUG
Protopterus annectens (West African lungfish) is the source of this 827-nucleotide long non-coding RNA. RefSeq lists it as uncharacterized. The transcript is spliced from 5 exons. The record is from RefSeq and is a predicted model, not a curated record. NCBI's taxonomy places the organism in Eukaryota, Metazoa, Chordata, Ceratodontiformes, Protopteridae.